AAAAAAAUCAGGCACGAAGAAACGUGCUAUUCUGUAAUUUAUCAGCGAAGCGCGAGCCGCCGGUGCGGUAGCCCUGACGCUGGGCUCUGCUUGUCUCCUGAGCACCAAGACUGCGGAGCCGGGCUGCGUCCCACCCCUGCACGAGGAGACUGAAGGCUCUUAACCGUGCUGACGACGUCCCAGGCCACCCAAGAAGUCCGCCUCCAGCAGAUGGUGCCUGGGAUGCCUCUGCCCUGAGUGUCCCCCAGGAGGGGAUGUGGUGCCGGGGGCGGACGCAGAGCCACCCAGGAAGCGGUCGCAGCCCACGCCGUGAGUCAACACCCUCCGUGCACAGCCUGGGCCCCAGCGCUGCGUCACUCCAGGUCCUGGGGGGCAGGACGGCGGGGCGGCCGGGCACUGGAAAGGGGAGCAGAGCAGGACGGCUGGGGGCUGCGGUCAGGGUGCGGAGCUUCCACACACCCCGUCUGUGACAGGCCUGUGUGGACCCCACUCUGCUUUCCGAGGGGGUUGGGAACCCCAGCAGGGAGCUGAGUGCCGGGAGCGGCCCGCUCAUUCUGGCCGACAAACUUACCGGGACGUCGAGCGGGACCCAGAGCCUCCCGCAGCCUCCUCACUGGCCAGCUCUGAGCCAAACCCGCCGCUCCUCCCAGCUGCCCCUCUCCCGGAAUCAACCACCGCCACGCACACGCAAGGGGGCAGAGGGGAUGCCACGGCCGGGAUUAGAAUCGGUGAUCACUGAACACUGCGCAGAGACCACGGCCGUGUGUGGCCCAAGGAAAGAGUCGCAGCAAAGAGGACAGAAAAGAGCGGACGGAAAUCACAGAGCUCAGCUUCAUAGCAAGGAAAAUAAGACUUCUGGGUGCAACCGCAGAACGGGUGCGAUGCUGCACGUGAGGAGGGAGCGAAGGGCAGAAAGUAGCGGAUGGGAAUGUCAGCAAGAGGACCAGUGGGAGAGGUCAGCUCGGUGGCGCCCUGCCUGCCUGGUGCGCACAGACGCAGGGCCUCGGUCGGUGGAUGAAGCUGAAAAGGACCGCGGGGAAAACAAGGUCUCUGCAAGGUUUCCCAACACCUCCCGGUUCCCACUGCCACACAACCAUGAUCAAAGCUUGCGUCCCCGAGUAGGAAGCAGGACUUGUAGAAGGUUCAGAAGAAAAGUCGAGGCACAGCCUCCUUCUCUGCCUCCUCCCAAAGAGUCUGGUGCUGGUCUUUUUAAUAGAAAUGUCACUCGAGAGACAUUUCCUCUACUUGAGUAUUCACGGAUACAGCACGCCGACGUCUCCCGCUGCAGGAGCGGGGCGAUGCAGUGAGGUCAGCGCGCGGAGAGCUCUCGCCACCCAUCCAUGUUCCUAGGCUGGUAAUCAAUCCCCGCUCGGGUCUCAGAAUAAAGCCGUCAGGUUGUGCAGCAUUAGAGGAAAUCACAGAACGCGCCGCUCCUCGUCUCUGUGUCAUCGGGACGCACAAGAGUGAGGGAGCCGCAGGACAGAGACGGUGACAAGUGGCCCCAGAACAAACUGCAGCGGGGUAAAGGUGGCUGCCCCAGGAGCAGACUGAGCUACCGUCUGAGCUGCACCUGCGAUGUCCCCUCCUUGCGGCCCUCUGCCCUGUCACAUCGUCCCCAACAGGAGGGCAGACGCCCCCAAGGCUCAGGUGAGCUCAGCUCCUCCCAGGCCCCUCCACCUCCGCGAAGGGCUGUACAGCUUCCCCAGCCCCGUGCCUGUCGCACACCAAGGAGGGGCAUCAUGUCACACCUGGCUCCCUGCAUUCUGCAAAGCUCCCAAAGGCAGGCAGCAGGUGAAACACUCCCUCCCUCCACCCACC
Molecule: long non-coding RNA, 1818 nt
Filed under: Fukomys damarensis (Damara mole-rat)
Lineage: Eukaryota; Metazoa; Chordata; Mammalia; Rodentia; Bathyergidae
Description: lncRNA (ENSFDAG00000028381.1)
Source: RNAcentral